RNAcentral lists this unclassified non-coding RNA (208 nucleotides) under Hevea brasiliensis (rubber tree). Lineage: Eukaryota; Viridiplantae; Streptophyta; Magnoliopsida; Malpighiales; Euphorbiaceae. The record is from RNAcentral.
UAUGCUCAAUACUACUCAAAAUCUUCCGGUUGUGUCUUACCAUAUGUAAUAAAAAAAACACGGAAUAUGUGGGGUUUAUAUUUUGUGUUCUUUAUUACAUAUGGGACACUCCUAAAGAGACCUCUCAAAGUCAUUUUCUAAAACGCUUUCCUCGUUUACCUUGUCUUAAUAUCUGGAAAACGAUCCACCUUAGUGGGCAAGGGAAAUA